GAAUAUCCCAGGACUCUUCCUUGUAUCUGAUUUUGUUAGUGGUGAAGAAGAACAGGUACAAACAUUGUUCUGUCCUGGUCACAAUAUCAAUCUUCUCAUUUUGUUGUAUUUUCCCGUUUCAAUUCAAUAUGUCUAGCUAUUAAACUACACAUAAAACCAACCAAUAUUACAAUAAAUAAAAAGAAAACGAUCUAUUGCAACGAUGGGCAACUUGCAAUACCACACCAUAACUCUCAUGGUUGGAUUCUGCUGUCUACAAGAACGGAACUGGUUAUUGAGUCUUCAUGUGUACCUUACUAG
Molecule: long non-coding RNA, 300 nt
Organism: Arabidopsis thaliana (thale cress)
Lineage: Eukaryota; Viridiplantae; Streptophyta; Magnoliopsida; Brassicales; Brassicaceae
Product: other RNA
Exons: 1
Source: RefSeq